GACCGCAUCUGUGAGUCUGUCUGUAUUGAUUGAUCUGAAAGCGUGCUGGGGAUCCAGGUCUCUGCUGGCGGUGAGGCAGAAGGAAUCCAGGCUGAUGUGAGAAGACACUCAGCAGUCUGCGAUGCAGAGAGCAUUUCAGGAUCAAGACCUGGGGGUGGGCACGGCAGGAACUUCGCUGCCCGCUCCCUGAUGCCCAGGUGCCCGGGGAGAGAUCCUGGAGCGAAGUGCCAGGGGCACCGCAGCUGACAGCCCCGGGCACCACGGCCCGCGGAGCUCACUCCCCGCGGGGCGCGAGUGCGAGUGUGCGCGAGAGCGGCGGGCGGCGGCGGGAGGAGGCGCAGGCGCGCUGCUCGCCCGUCUGCAGCCGGGCGCCGGGCGCCGAGCGCCGCGGCUCGGGGAGUUGAUGGCAGCACCACAGGGCGGCCGCCGGGCCGAGCGCCGAGCGCAGCCACCCGCCGCUGCCCAGGGAGCGUCCAAGAUGUGGAGGGAUCCGGGCGGCAGCGGUUGCAGCAGCGCCAGGGACCGGGGCGCGCAGCAGCCUCCGCUCUCCUGCCUGUGCUGACCUGCCUCGUUUGGCCCCAAAGAAUGUCAGCCAAGUCCAAAGGGACGCCCCCCUCCUCCUCUCCAGCCAAGGGACCACCGGCAGCCUCCAAAACCAAGGUGAAGGAACAGAUCAAGAUCAUCGUGGAGGAUCUGGAAUUAGUCCUGGGCGACCUGAAGGACGUAGCCAAGGAACUUAAGGAGGUGGUUGAUCAGAUUGAUACCCUGACCUCUGACCUGCAGCUGGAGGAUGAGAUGACCGACAGCUCCAAAACGGACACGCUGAACAGUAGCUCAAGUGGCACAACAGCCUCCAGCAUAGAGAAGCUCAAAGUGCAGGCCAAUGCGCCUCUCAUUAAACCCCCAGCACACCCAUCUGCUAUCCUCACGGUCCUGAGAAAGCCAAACCCCCCACCGCCUCCGCCACGGUUGACGCCUGUGAAGUGUGAAGACCCCCAGAGGGUGGUGCCAGCUGCCAAUCCAGUAAAGACCAAUGGCACCCUUCUGCGGAACGGAGGCUUUCCAGGAGCACCAAACAAAAUUCCCAAUGGAGACAUCGGCUGCAUACCCAGUAAGAACUCGGACAAGGUGUCCCUGCAGCCUCUGAUGCAUAGACCUGAAAAAGACAGGUGUCCCCAGGCAGGGCCUCGGGAGCGGGUUCGGUUUAAUGAAAAAGUGCAGUACCAUGGCUAUUGUCCUGACUGUGACACCCGGUAUAACAUGAAAAACCGGGAGGUCCAUUUACACAGUGAACCUGUCCAGCCACCAGGAAAGCUUCCUCACCCAGGCCCUCCCCGCCCUCCUCCACCCCAUCACCCUCCAUUUCCACUUGAAAAUGGGGGACUGGGAAUAAGCCACAGUAACAGCUUCCCCCCGCUCAGACCUGCAACUGUGCCUCCUCCCCCUGCACCGAAACCACAGAAGACGAUCUUGAGGAAGUCAACUACUACAACAGUGUGAUGUAUGCCAUUUAAAAACAUUUUUUGUUUUAUUUUAGUUUUUAUAUUAUACACAUAAAAUAAUAAGUAAUGAGCACUUUCUACUCAAGCAAUAAAAAGCCCAAAUGUAUUAACCCUGCAUUCAGCAAAGUGGCAUAAAAAUCACCUGCUCCUUCAGGAUGGAAGGAAAAUCUUUAUUUGGAGGCAUGUCAGCUCAUUUUUCUCACUUCAGAUUCAUCACUAUGACUUCUUGAGGCCAGAUCUAAUUUUGAAAUAACCAAGAACCUGUCCAUCUUAGAGCAGCAAACCCCCUGAACUUCGGAGCACAAAUGGUCACGGAUACGGUCUGCAUAAAAUCAUCUGCCUCUAGUCUGACAGCCAUGAGCAGAGCCCUAGGGGUGAAAAAGCCACAGCCUUAAAUCUCUUCGCUCAGAAAUUACCAAGAAGAUUUUUUUAAAAAAUAGAUGAAAAGGACUAAACAAUCAAGCCAACAAAAACAGAAACCAAACAAGCUCCAUCUUACUUCACCAUGAAAAUAAGUAUUCCCAGAUAGGAACCCAUGAAAAUGUAUAUUCAGCGAAUUAAGCUAGUAAAUUAUCAAUUGAUUUAUCAUUUGGGAAGGUAAAAGUGUAGAGAUAGGAGAUACCUCUAGCCAGAAUCACUCAGCAUUUCAAAAGAAAAAUGUAGACAAAGAGAAACUGAACAAGCAGAGGAGCAUUGCAGCAAUGAACAGUAUUAGGACAGAAUGUUGCUGUUUGCAGAGAGGAUGUUUGCCAUCGUGUGUACACUUUUAAAGCCAUAAUGGAAUAGCAGCGUUGUUGUCAAUUGCUUGAAAAGUUUCUGCAUUCAAUCCUUCACUCCAUAUUGGUUGAGAGAGGGGGGAGGUCAGUUCUUACUGAUUAUUUCUCAAUGCACUUCGAAUAUUUGCACUGUCACUUCCAUUCAGGGUAAUGAUGUGCGCUGAUAUUUGCACAGAUGGUCCCGUGAGUUUUGAGACCACAACAAGCAGUUUCUUGCAGGAGUCUAAAAAGGAAACACUUAAGAAUUCUGCAUAUAUUGAUUUCUCUUUCUUCCAUAAAAAUCAGUUAUUUGAAAAAAUAAUGUUCUUGUCUCAGAUUAAAACAACAACUACAGAAUUAUCAUGAAAAAGCAGCAGUGUGGUCAAAUGAAUGAAAAAGGGAUCAAAUUUUUUAAUGAAGAUCAUUUUUUAUCAUUAACAGCCAAGAAGUCAAAUACAGUGAACUGUACACUAAACAUUUAUGUUUAACAUCUAUUUGUUCUCUGAAAAAAAUCAUUUGUAAUUUGUAUUUGACAUAUAACAGUUUUUUAUAGCCAUUUAUCUAUGCUUCAUGGAAAAAUGUACCAGAC
Phyllostomus hastatus (greater spear-nosed bat) is the source of this 2846-nucleotide RNA transcript. It is a transcript of the gene named proline rich 16, with no coding region annotated. The record is from RefSeq and is a predicted model, not a curated record. The transcript is spliced from 3 exons. NCBI's taxonomy places the organism in Eukaryota, Metazoa, Chordata, Mammalia, Chiroptera, Phyllostomidae.